This is a long non-coding RNA of Juglans regia (Persian walnut), 2588 nucleotides long. RefSeq lists it as uncharacterized. The transcript has 3 exons. The record is from RefSeq and is a predicted model, not a curated record. Lineage: Eukaryota; Viridiplantae; Streptophyta; Magnoliopsida; Fagales; Juglandaceae.
GAUAAUAUAUUAGCCUUAACACAUUAUUUUAUUUAAUAGUCGCAUUUUGAAAAGAGAGAAUAAAAUAUGAGAAUAAAAUUAUAUACUAUUAAACACUAGAAAAUCUAACGUCCAUGUAUGUAUUUUUUUUAUAUAAAGGUGCUUUAAUGAUUUACAUUUACAUUCAAUGUAAAUCACACAAAAGGGCCUGACUUAAAAAAAAUGGGUUAUUCUUUAUGUUAAUGUAAUAAACGGGUUGUAUGAAGCUUCCUUUUUUUUUUUUUCUUGAGACAAGGGCUGUUAAUUGUUAGAGAAGGAAGAAUGGUUUCCAUAUCAGUGUGUACAAGGGUCCCACCGUCAGGAGGAAAUAGUGAAAUUUGCUUUUUGUGAUGGGAAGUUGUUAUACGCGGGAUCACGAAAUAUUUAGUAGAAAUUGGAGGGAAAUAAGCUUUUCGAUUUUAUUUAAUAGUUGAUAAAGUGACUUCAGCCCACUACACAAAAGUAGCGCAGUACAGACAAAAAGUUAAGAGUUAUCUCAUUGGUGGAAAAGGAGCAAGAGAGCCCUGUAUUCAAACUGACCUUUAAGCACCAAGAGAUCAGCCCUUUGAGGUGAACUCAGAAUAUCUUACACAAAUUUGCAGUUGGUUGUUUGCAAACUAAGCUUAUCAUAUGGUGAAGAGGAAAGUUUAGAGAUGAUUGCAAAUCAUCAACUUAUUUCACAAAUCUGUUAUAUGGAUUUGCACAGUUUAAUGAUAGAGGUGAAAUGACCUCGAUAAUAGAGCUCAAACUGGGGUUUAAUAAACUGACCUUAGUGCAAAAUCUUGGUGAAGGUAAGGAAAAUAUGAGGAGAUAGACGUGGAUUUGCAAGUAAAAUGAUUUUCACUCAGUUUUGUUAUUUGUGCAAACAAUGAUACUAAGUAUAUUUAUCAACUUGUCUACAAUCAUAGACCAAAGAUGAAUUUAUAUUUAGAAGUUUUUCUUGUUGCCAUUCAGCUUUCAUGAAAGAAGGUUUCUUUAUGGGUCUACAAGCAUGCCUCAAUCAUAUUGGGGGUUCGGAUGAUUGUUUUAUUACCCACAUCAUCCAGCUUUAUCAUACAUGGACGUUAGAAAGUAGACUUUAUGGUUGUAGAAAUGUUGCAUUUUCACUCAGUUUUGUUAUUUGUGCAAACAAUGAUACUAAGUAUAUUUAUCAACUUGUCUACAACCAUAGACCAAAGAUGAAUUUAUAUUUAGAAGUUUUUCUUGUUGCCAUUCAGAUUUCAUGAAAAAAGGUUUCUUUAUGGGUCUACCAGCAUGUCUAAUAGAGACACUCCAGGAAAUGUUUAGCUGGAUGGCCUUCUAAACUGGGAUUUUUUGAUAUUUUGCUCCAUUUGCUGCCAGGCACAUAUUUUAUUUAAUAGUUGUCUAGAUUUUUGGGUGCAGGACCUGCAUGUUAGUUGUACUUGCUGGAUGUUCCUUGGUGGAAUUAUAAAAUGUCCUGGGCAACAAUAUUUUGGUGGGAUUACUCUGUUAAAGGUUAUGAGAAAACAUUGUAGAAAGCAAAUGGCAUAUGUUGAUAUAAAUCACCCAAGCUGGAAUUUUUUGAUGCAACACUACAAGAGCCUGCUGGAUGCUACAUAUGUGGAUUCACUCCCAGGUUUAAAUUAAUGUAUAGGGUUUAAGGUUAAUGUAUAACCAUGUUGACAACAAUUGGUUGAGAUGCACACAUUCUUCAUCAAGUGUUUAGUGUCAGUAAAUGGAGAUAGGAAUUUAAGUAAUUGCAUGACAAUUAGAAGGAACCUGCUAUAAUGUAUGAUGUAAAAAGUAAAUGAAAUGUUCACAUUCAAGCUUUUUUGAUGAAAUCUGGAUGGCAAUGUACAUGAUAAAAACAGGGGAAAAAGUGUAUGGUGUUUGAAUUAUAUUAAAUAUAAAACAAAAGUCCUCAAAAUCUGGUACUUGGCAGAGUACUAAAUGAGAGGAAUCUCAAAGAUAAUUUCCCAUUGGUAAAGCUUAAAUUCUUCCUCGGCUACAUACGUUACUACUCUUUAGACAAAAUCUUCUUGAACUUCUUUAUUUUUUCUGAGUUAGUGUGGUGUAAAGAAUGCUUAAUCUAAUUAGAUCCUGUUACCACAAAUUGCAAAGUAUAGAUAUGUAGUAUCUAAAUUUCUUUAAUUCCCCUGUUUUUUAUAAAGAAUAAUCUAUAUGCAUUUAAGAUGAUCAGGACGUAUGGUUUAAAUUUCUAAAUUCCCGUGAAGUAGUGGUAUAUGCUAAUAUAUGCUAUUUCCCUAGCUCUUAUUAUAUAUAAUAUUGCUCCAAGGUUGUAGAUUGGUUUUGGCAUUUUAUUCAUGAGUCACAGAGUACAUACUGAGCUAUUGGGAUAAAUAUAAAUUAGAUGCAUCUACACAUCUCUAUCUAAUUUUCUGAUCAUGAUCUUUAAAUUAAAGAAGAAGAAUUUUUUAUGAUUGGUCAUUAUAAAUUCAUGAAACAUAUACUGGGGCAAGGAAUCAAUAUAAAUAAAAUAUAUUUAAUGAUUGGUGGAGAAUCAAUAUGCAUGCCAAGAUGCUAUACAUGAAUUUAUGCGAUAGAGGUUGUUUCAAUUCAGAUUGAGUACAUAUUGAAUGACUUUGCUA